AGGGCGUACGGCGGAUGCCUUGGCCAUAUCAGCCGAAGAAGGACGCGAUAAGCUGCGAUAAGCUGCGGUGAGGUGCAAGUAACCAGUGACCCGCAGAUUUCCGAAUGGGGAAACCCGGCAGUAGUAGUACUGUCACCUCUCGAAUGGGAGGAGGGCACCCGGUGAACUGAAACAUCUAAGUAGCCGGAGGAAGAGGAAUCAAAAGAGAUGCCCCCAGUAGCGGCGAGCGAAGCGGGCAAAGCCCAAACCGGAGCGGGAAACCGCACCGGGGUUGAGGACUACCAACAAGUACCUAGAUGAAGUCGAAUCAGGUGGGAACCUGAGCCAGAGACGGUGAGAGCCCGGUAGACGUAAAGAAGGGUAUGGGGUAGUAUCCAGAGUACCACGGGGCACGAGGAACCUUGUGGGAAGCAGGGGGGACCACCCUCCAAGGCGAAAUACUGAUAUGGACCGAUAGCGCAUAGUACCGUGAGGGAAAGGUGAAAAGAACCCCGGGAGGGGAAUGAAAGAGAACCUGAAACCGUAUGUCUACAAGCAGUCGAAGCACCGUAUGCGUGCGACGGCGUGCCUAUUGAAGAAUGAACCGGCGAGUUAUUUCAUCCGGCGAGGUUAAGCGGAAAACGCGGAGCCGAAGCGAAAGCGAGUCUGAACAGGGCGACAAGUCGGAUGGAAUAGACCCGAAACCACAGUGAUCUAUCCAUGCCCAGGUUGAAGCACAGGUAAAAAUGUGUGGAGGACCGAACCAGUGAGCGUUGAAAAGCUUUUGGAUGAGGUGUGGAUAGGGGUGAAAUGCCAAUCGAACGUGGAGAUAGCUGGUUCUCCCCGAAAUAGCUUUAGGGCUAGCCUCAUGGCAAGAGUGCAGGCGGUAGAGCACUGAACAGGGUAGGGGCCUAUCCGGCUACCGAACCUAAUCAAACUACGAAUGGCUGUACUUAUCCAUGGGAGUCAGACUGCGAGUGAUAAGACCCGUAGUCAAGAGGGAAACAGCCCAGACCAACAGCUAAGGUCCCCAAUGCCGUACUAAGUGGUAAAGGAUGUGGAGUUUCGAAAACAACCAGGAUGUUGGCUUAGAAGCAGCCACCAUUAAAAGAGUGCGUAAUAGCUCACUGGUCGAGAGACUCUGCGCCGAAGAUGACCGGGGCUAAAGUACGGAACCGAAGCUUUGGCAUGUAUGUAAAUACAUGGGUAGGGGAGCGUUCCUGCAUGGGCGAAGCCUGACCGGAAGGACAGGUGGACAGGCAGGAAGUGAGAAUGCCGGUAUGAGUAGCGAAAAGAAAGGUGAGAAUCCUUUCCACCGAAAGCCUAAGGGUUCCUGGGCAACGAUCGUCGACCCAGGGUAAGUCGGGACCUAAUCCGAGGCGAAGACGCAUAGGAGAUGGACAACAGGUUGAAAUUCCUGUACCGACGUCGUCUGUUUGAGCGAUGGAGUGACACAAGAAGGAAAGUUCGCAUGCGAUUGGAAGAGCAUGUCUAAGCAGGUAGGUUGAAUACCAGGCAAAUCCGGUAUUCUAAAAGCCGAGAAGUGAUAGGGAGCCUGUAGAAAUACAGGUGAAGGAACCGGGACUCGAUUGUCAAGAAAAGCUUCUAGUGAGGACGACGCCGCCCGUACCAAAACCGACACAGGUAGGCAAGAAGAGAAUUCUAAGGUGCGCGGGAAAACCCUCGUUAAGGAACUCGGCAAAAUGUAUCCGUAACUUCGGGAAAAGGAUAACCCAGAGUACGUGAAGGAAAGAAACAUCCGGAGCGGGAAUGGGUGGCACAAGAGAGGCCCAAGCGACUGUUUACCACAAACACAGGCGUCUGCUAAAGAGAACGGCGGCCGUAACUAUAACGGUCCUAAGGUAGCGAAAUUCCUUGUCGGGUAAGUUCCGACCCGCACGAAAGGUGUAACGAUUUGGGCACUGUCUCAACGAGGGACCCGGUGAAAUUGAAGUACCUGUGAAGAUGCAGGUUACCCGCGACUGGACAGAAAGACCCCAUGGAGCUUUACUGUAACCUGAGAUUGAAUUUUGGUAGAAGAUGUACAGGAUAGUUGGGAGACGUAGAAGCGCGCACGCCAGUGUACGCAGAGUCGAUGGUGGGAUACCAACCUUGUUUUAUUGAAAUUCUAACGAGAGCCGUAACGAGGCUGCGGACAGUCUCAGGCGGGCAGUUUGACUGGGGCGGUCGCCUCCGAAAGAGCAACGGAGGCGCCCAAAGGUUCCCUCAGCGCGGACGGAAACCGCGCGAAGAGUGUAAAGGCAGAAGGGAGCUUGACUGCGAGACGGACAGGUCGAGCAGGGACGAAAGUCGGGCUUAGUGAUCCGGUGGUAGAGAGUGGAAUUGCCAUCGCUCAACGGAUAAAAGCUACCCUGGGGAUAACAGGCUUAUCUCUCCCAAGAGUCCAUAUCGACGGGGAGGUUUGGCACCUCGAUGUCGGCUCAUCACAUCCUGGGGCUGUAGUAGGUCCCAAGGGUUGGGCUGUUCGCCCAUUAAAGUGGUACGCGAGCUGGGUUCAGAACGUCGUGAGACAGUUCGGUCCCUAUCCAUCGCGGGCGCAAGAAACUUGAAAGGGGCUGCUCCUAGUACGAGAGGACCGGAGUGGACGAACCAAUGGUGUAUCGGUUAUGCCGCCAGGCGUACAGCCGAGUAGCUACGUUCGGGACGGAUAAACGCUGAAAGCAUCUAAGCGUGAAACCAGCCUAAAGAUGAGGUUUCU
Molecule: ribosomal RNA, 2698 nt
Filed under: human oral metagenome
Description: bacterial LSU rRNA
Rfam family: Bacterial large subunit ribosomal RNA
Source: RNAcentral